This 254-nucleotide ribosomal RNA is filed under the name uncultured bacterium. RNAcentral describes it as "partial 16S ribosomal RNA". It matches the Rfam family "Bacterial small subunit ribosomal RNA", at positions 524 to 776 of the family's 1533-position model. The record is from RNAcentral.
UACGUAGGGGGCAAGCGUUGUCCGGAUUUAUUGGGCGCAAAGAGCGUGUAGGCGGCCAAACAGGUCAGCUGUGAAAACUCGAGGCUCAACCUCGAGACGUCGGUUGAAACCGUUUGGCUAGAGUCCGGAAGAGGAGAGUGGAAUUCCUGGUGUAGCGGUGAAAUGCGUAGAUAUCGAGAGGAACACCUGCGGCGAAGGCGGGUUGCUGGGCUGACACUGACGCUGACAGCGCGAAAGCUAGGGGAGCGAACGGG